GAGCGCUUCCCGUGACUACGGGAAGGUCAGCAGAUCCGGUGUAAUUCCGGGGCCGACGGUUAAAGUCCGGAUGGGAGAGAGUAACG
RNAcentral lists this unclassified non-coding RNA (86 nucleotides) under Klebsiella quasipneumoniae subsp. similipneumoniae. RNAcentral describes it as "FMN". The record is from RNAcentral. Lineage: Bacteria; Pseudomonadati; Pseudomonadota; Gammaproteobacteria; Enterobacterales; Enterobacteriaceae.